AUUGAACGCUGGCGGCAGGCUUAACACAUGCAAGUCGAGCGAGCGGCGGACGGGUGAGUCAUGUCUGGGAAACCGCCUGAUGGAGGGGGAUAACUACUGGAAAGGGUAGCUAAUACCGCAUACCAUCAGAUGUGCCCAGAUGGGAUUAGCUAGUAGGUGGGGUAAUGGCUCAACUAGGCGACGAUCCCUAGCUGGUCUGAGAGGAUGACCAGCCACACUGGAACUGAGACAAGGUCCAGACUCCUACGGGAUGCAGCAGUGGGGAAUAGUGCACAAGGGGCGCAAGCCUGAUGCAGCCAGGCCGCGUGUGUGAAGAAGGCCUUCGGGUUGUAAAGCACUUUCAGCGAGGAGGCGUUACUCGGAGAAGAAGCACCGGCUAACUCCGUGCCAGCAGCCGCGGUAAUUC
RNAcentral lists this ribosomal RNA (406 nucleotides) under uncultured bacterium. RNAcentral describes it as "partial 16S ribosomal RNA". It matches the Rfam family "Bacterial small subunit ribosomal RNA", at positions 30 to 526 of the family's 1533-position model. The record is from RNAcentral.